GACUAUCAAGAAUCGUACACUUUUCAUCAGAUUUUUUUUCGUUAAAUCAAUGACAAAGUUAAAACUAAAAGAUAUUAAAGUGAAUAUUCGAUAUACUUAAGGGGUAUCUAAAAUUUUUUAUAUAUAAUUUAAUAAAAUAUUAACGAAUAAGUUGACGAAAAAAUAAAAAUAAAACCACAUUACACUAACUUGAUACAUUUUAAACCACAGAGUACUAAGUAAGAAAGCGUGAAACCACUGAAGUGGUAUUUGAAGUUUACUCAUAUUUUUAAUAAGGGGCAAUUGCCUAUAUACCCCUGAAAAGUUUCCGGUUUUCUUAUUUAUCCUUCUUAGAAAGCUAAUAUUGAAAAUAUCCUUCUUAUGUUCCAAGUUUUUCUAAAAUACCUCUGAAGUUAAGUUCCGUUAGUGAGCUGCCGUUAUCUCUGAAAAAUUAUCAUUUUGCCCAUUCCAAUAUACCCUUAUACCGUAACAAACUUUUCUUAUAUACCCUUCAUAUAGCAAAUACUUUUCUUAUUUGCCCUUCAGCCGGAUCCGGAGCAGAGGGCGUGCAGGGGUCCGAUGGCGUUGCGGCCCUCUUGCUCCCGGCGCCGGCCAAGGCAGCGGAGGAGGAGAAGGACGACGAGAGCGGCGAGAGAUGGGAUCGUCGCUGCGGCCCUCUUGUUCCCGGCGUCGGCCAAAGCGGCGGAGGAGGUGGACGACGGCGACGACGAGAGCAGCGGUGGAAGAGGACGACGAGAGCGACGAGAGGGAUGGUGUUGGAGGUGGAGGUGUGGGAGGAGAUGAGGCGAGAUGGAGGCGGAGGAGCCGGUCGGUGGUGGCGGAGGAGCCGGCCGGUGGUGGCGACAAAGUUGGGGAAGAAAGAGAGGAUAAUCUUAGGGAUUAGUAUAAUAAGGUAGGGACAAAAUAGGUAUUUUGUUUAGAUUUUAACUCUAGUAUAGAUUUAACCCAUGUUUAACCCGAGGUAAGCUAACAGGGGAUAACUGCGGGAGUAUUUUGAAAUAACGGUGGAACAUAUGAGGGACAUUUUAAAAAGAGAAAAAAAAAUAGGUGUAGAUCGGAUAUUUUCGAACGCAUGAAAGGUAUAUAGGUAAUUAUCCCUUUUAAUAAUUAAUAUUCAACAAAUGUAAAUUCAUAUGCGAAGUAAAUUAAUUUUUUUAUAUUAUAC
RNAcentral lists this long non-coding RNA (1165 nucleotides) under Ananas comosus (pineapple). RNAcentral describes it as "long non-coding RNA (ACOM_LNC007556)". Lineage: Eukaryota; Viridiplantae; Streptophyta; Magnoliopsida; Poales; Bromeliaceae. The record is from RNAcentral.